Molecule: ribosomal RNA, 321 nt
Filed under: Proboscia inermis
Lineage: Eukaryota; Bacillariophyta; Melosirophyceae; Probosciales; Probosciaceae
Description: partial Bacterial large subunit ribosomal RNA
Rfam family: Bacterial large subunit ribosomal RNA
Source: RNAcentral
UUGUAUAAUGGGUCAGCGACUUAUUGUCUGUAGCAAGCUUAACCGUAUAGGGGAGGCGUAGGGAAACCGAGUCUUAAUAGGGCGUUUAGUUGCAGGCAAUAGACCCGAAACCGGGCGAUCUAUCCAUGGCCAGGCUGAAGGUUGGGUAACACUAACUGGAGGGCCGAACCCACUAAUUUUGAAAAAUUAGGGGAUGAGCUGUGGAUCGGAGUGAAAGGCUAAUCAAGCCCGGAGAUAGCUGGUUCUCCUCGAAAUCUAUUUAGGUAGAGCGUCGUGUCUUACCCUGGGGGGUAGAGCACUGUUUGGGCUAGGGGGUCAUCC